This 22-nucleotide non-coding RNA is filed under the name Arabidopsis thaliana (thale cress). The record is from RNAcentral. Lineage: Eukaryota; Viridiplantae; Streptophyta; Magnoliopsida; Brassicales; Brassicaceae.
AGCGAGAGGAAAUACUUGGUAC